RNAcentral lists this ribosomal RNA (492 nucleotides) under uncultured bacterium. RNAcentral describes it as "partial 16S ribosomal RNA". It matches the Rfam family "Bacterial small subunit ribosomal RNA", at positions 29 to 507 of the family's 1533-position model. The record is from RNAcentral.
AGUGAACGCUGGCGGUAGACCUAACACAUGCAAGUCGAACGGCAGCACAGUAAGAGCUUGCUCUUACGGGUGGCGAGUGGCGGACGGGUGAGGAAUACAUCGGAAUCUACUUUUUCGUGGGGGAUAACGUAGGGAAACUUACGCUAAUACCGCAUACGACCUACGGGUGAAAGCAGGGGAUCUUCGGACCUUGCGCGAUUGAAUGAGCCGAUGUCGGAUUAGCUAGUUGGCGGGGUAAAGGCCCACCAAGGCGACGAUCCGUAGCUGGUCUGAGAGGAUGAUCAGCCACACUGGAACUGAGACACGGUCCAGACUCCUACGGGAGGCAGCAGUGGGGAAUAUUGGUCAAUGGGCGCAAGCCUGAUCCAGCCAUACCGCGUGGGUGAAGAAGGCCUUCGGGUUGUAAAGCCCUUUUGUUGGGAAAGAAAAGCAGCAGGUUAAUACCCCGCUGUUCUGACGGUACCCAAAGAAUAAGCACCGGCUAACUUCGUG